UCCCGCAGGAAGGGGCGGGCUGAGCGGGAGCAGCCCGGGGCCGUGGAGGACCCGGCCCGGAGUAGCGGGAAGGAUUUUCCAGCUACCAGUGCCCAGCAAGAGUUAUUCCAGGACAAGCACAGUGAUAAGGAGGAAUGAAAAAAGCCUUGUUCCAAGAUACUGUUUCAUGUGGAAUGACAACAGUUGAAACAGUAGUGGAAGAUAGAGAUUAUUUCAGUAAGAAAAAAAUAAAGAUCUAUCCAAAUCCAAACCAGAUUUUUUUUUUUCAUAUGUGAAUGUAAUAAAGGUAAAAUUAGUAUCUUCCUGGGCUUUUUAAAACUGAUUUUUGUUUUGUUUUGGUUUUUUUAGCAAAAUACAGUUUAAAAAAGUGAUCCAGAAGAGGGCAACAUUCACAGCCAUUCUGAGACCUAUGAUGAACAAAUGCUUUCACAUUGACAGAGGUUGCUGCGAUGAUUUGAGAGCAGAGGAUAGAACAAAAUAAAAGAAGCUGAAGUUAGAAGAACAGAAAAGGCCUUUGACACCCUGAGGAAUGGGAUCACAGAAGGAGAGGGAGCAGAUGCUGCGAAGAGAGAGGAUAUCAGGACCACCUCCUCAGCACAGCCUCCUGGGAAGGGAGUAUUCCCAACACUAUCACUUCUUUGUCAUCACAUGUCCCAAUGCCCUGUGCCAAAUGCCCUGUGUCCCAUGAUUCUUGCUCUGUUCAGCCCAGUGCUAGGUCAUACACUUGGAGACACAGUCACUGCAGUGCUUGAAUUCCAGAAGUUUGGCAUCGAGGAGUCCAGGUGAUGUGCAAGGUCAGUGUAUGGACCCAGAAGAUGAGUGGGCUGGCAAGGCUGAAGUAAAACCACGACUUUUUUUACUCUAGAUGCUGUAAAACAAAAUCACCUCUCUUCUCCUUUCUCCAAUCCCAUAGUUAUUUCAGCUGGAGUGCAAGGAGUGCAUUUUAGGCCUGACUAAUGGCAAUUUUUCUUCCUCCCACAAGGAAUACUAGAGCCUGUCGAUAUGGAAGGAUCUGCCAACAAGGCAUUAUGAGCAUCAGGGAUUUGAGUCAGAGCAUGGUGUGAGUCUGGAACUGGGCUGCAUGCCCAGGUGCUGAAGAUGGGUAAAAAAAUCAGAAAAGAAGGGAAAAGGACAGAAGAGUGGGGAGGUCAAAGUCUGUAAAGAGCUAGAGGAGGCACAUGCUGGAAGCACCUCUGAGUAUCUGCUGCAAUACUCGGGGUAUCUUCUGUAUACUGAAAUCUUCCCACCUUGUACACAUGGAAUAAUCCUCAAGCAUCAUCCAGUCUGAGUUAGUUUGACAUAGUCACCGAGUCACAGAAUUUACCAGGGAGCCCUUACAGUCCUGAUGGGAAAAGCAGGCACUUACAAACACUGCAAUAAUUAUUAUCAAAUUUUCAUAUUUGCUUUUAAUUUCACAGUGCUCAGGUCGAAUUAGCCUGAGGUCUGGAUCUCAAAACUAUUAACUCUCAUUGAUUAGAUAUUGAUAUGGGCUACUCUUUUCUGCAAAACUACCAGUUUUCCAUGCCUUUACAUAUCUAACUUGAGAGACCCUGAAGCCUGAUUUUUUCAAGGCUCUUUGGAAAGCCACAGUUUUUUCAGUGUUUUGACAUUGAUUCUGUGGCUUUAAAAAGCUUCAGCAUUGAAUUUCAAGUACAUAAUCAUUAAUAAUUUUGGAAAAUAUUACCUUAAAUACUUGUUAAAGGGGAACAGUAACAACGAAUUAAAGGCAGGCUUAUAAAACCAUAAUAAAGCAUUUUCACAAAGAAGUUGAUUUCCAAGACUGUGGUCCACAGAGUGACUCUGUCCUAAUGUCCUUCCUAAACUGAGAGGCAAGACACAUAGUCUUUCCCAGUGUGUCUUUGAAGCAUCAUGUCAGGAAGUGACCAGGGACAAUUUGGGUGCUUUAAGAAGGCAAGAACAACAAAGCCAGGACCUUUUCCUUGGUGCAUUUGUUCUGCCUCCACCUUAGGUCAUGUUUUCUCUUGUUUCCAGCAGUAAGCUCUGUAAGAUGGGACAUGCCUCUUGCUUCAUGUCUAUACAAGUGCCAGGUGCACUGCUAGAAAAAAUAAUCUGUGUACAGGAGAAGUGCCAGAAAGACUGGCAGCAUUCAGGAGGGUGAGGAGUGGGGACUUUCUGCUGCGCCUGGUGAGGAAAUGGAGCGAGGUUUCAUUCCAAAUGAAACGUGAGGAGAUUGCCUUUACAACUUCACAUGGGUCACAUCUUCUGUCUUGUGAAGUGGUCAGGGUCUCUGUGGUGUUAUGACUAGUUUGGCCAAGGAGCAGCUCAUGAGCACAAAACUCAAAACUUGUUUAGCUGAGUUUGCUGUCUCUUAAGUGAGUCAAAAAAUAGCAGAAAACAGCAAAUAUUUUCUCUCCUUCUAAACCUGAUGUGUGGAGUACUGGACUCAGUAUUCAUUCAAAUUUCUGUUUACACACAUGAGAGUGUUUCCUAACUCUGGCUCACCAAAUUGGUCCUCUCAAGUUCAAAUUACAGUACACUUGAAGUUCUGGUUAGCUCUUAUUAUCCAUAGUACUUUGUAAGAAUUUACAGCAUCCAAAACACAUUUAGAAUUAGAAAAAAACUGUGGAACAAGCUUCUCUACAACUAUCUUGGGCUUGUAUCCAUAGAAAUAGAGGCUGGAUUGGGAAAAACUCACUCUGUUAUUUUAAAUAAUCACUAUACAGUGAUUACUGUAAAGUAUGUGCUUUGUUUUAAGUGGUCUGACACUCAUUUCCAUAGAAACAGACAGAGGAUAGCAACCUGCUUGUUUGAACUGUCCUGUAGAUUCUGUCUGUGUCAGAAUGCAGGAAUAUAAAACUUUUUAAAAUGUGGGAAAAGCCUGGGUUUUU
Molecule: long non-coding RNA, 2849 nt
Organism: Passer domesticus (house sparrow)
Lineage: Eukaryota; Metazoa; Chordata; Aves; Passeriformes; Passeridae
Exons: 3
Source: RefSeq, a predicted model, not a curated record